ACGUUAGAACAAUCUACUCCUUUUAACAAUUAAAUUAGAUAUUAAAGAAGAACUGAGAUAACUGAUUUAAAGUAACAAUGUGGAAGAUGAACUAGCUAAAUAUCUAUUACAAUUCCCUGAACCUGGUAUCACGAGUGCACGAACUACUAGAGCAAUCCACAUAAGGGUCUGAAAUAAGCAACAAGUUGUUCGAACAGAAGUACAUAGCUAAAUAGACAGAGGAUGAGGACUCCAAGAGCUGCGGGCACCGAACAAAUGUACCUCAAGUCUCCGUGAAUGUAACCUAUCUUCAAAAUCUACACAGUGUGUAAAGUGCGGUAUCAGUACAGCCGACCCCAUGUACUAGUAUAUGUCGAGCCUAACAUUGACGAAGUAAUGACGAGGCUAAAGUGGGUCACUUACGCUAAAACCUGUACGCAGUAUAUAAUAAUGGAAAAACAAUUGAAAUGCAGCAGAAUUAAACAUCCAACAGGUAAUGAUACCACAACGUCAUAGAUAAACCAGUGUCAUCCAGAAUAUACCAAUUUUACUAGUUCAAUCAAAAUAUCGAAGAAAACAACACAGUUCAACAAAUAGAAGUAUAUAGGUUUUUGCAACGCGCAACCCGAUCCUACUAGACAACAUAUAAUCCUACCUUAUUUCCACUAUAACAAUAUAAAAAACAGUUAAUAAUAUAUAUUUGUCGCGGCGCGCAGCAGAUUAAUCUAAUAAAAGGGCUUCAACACUUAUUUUGAGGGCCAUAAAUAUUGGUGUUAUUUAAUAUGGCAUGCCUCAAUUAAUUAAAGGGCCUAGUCGACUGGUUAAAGGACUAAUGAAUUUCCAACCAUUAAGGCGAAGGUUUAAACUCAAUGUUAAUAACCAGUACAUGAAACCAAGUUGAGUUACUGAAAGAGCCCAGGCGGGUUGUGAGCCCAAUGACCAGCUCGCCAUCAUGCUAACAAAUAAGAUGACACAAUUGGGCUCUAUCAAAAAGCCCAUAGUUGAGAUCUGCCUGUCAAAAGGAAAUUUGGCGCAACUGGGCUAAUGCUAAUAGCCUAGCUCAGUGAUAUGAGCAUUAACAAUUAAAGGUAAACUACAUUGUUAUGAAGAUUCAGAAGUUGAACAACUGAUUAUUAACAGCUCGUGUGAAGGGCAUUUCAUCAUUUAAAGUCAUCAAUUCGAAUUUCCAGCAAGCAGAAAACACUUUAAAGUUUCAGAAAUACUUCAUUAUUAACAAUGGCCUUGGAAAUGCUUGACUCUAGACCUUGAAGAGUAAGCAAACACUGGUUGAUUUCACGUAAACCAAAUGAGAGACUUUUAUGUAUUGCAACAUGGCACAACCAAUUUUCCGCACCUUAAAAAUCAAAACUGCUACAUAAUCAAUAUUGAAACUAAUACACUUAAUGACUUCAGCAGAGUAUUACACCUAUCCGAAUCAGCUAUCAAAUAUCAUAACAUGCCAUGAAUUUGCUUAAACACCUAAACUAACAUCUAAAAAAGGUAAACAACCUCAAGUUAAUUAACAAGCUCACAUGUCUAACUUCUGAACAUAGUCUCACAUUAGGGCCAAUAGAACCAAAAGCAUGAUUAAAUAUAUCUAAUAGCACUUCUUAUUAACCCAUAACUCAAACCAUACUAGACCAAAUUACUUAACCACUUAACAAAUGCUUGAUGAUAACAACUUAAUGAACACAUAGCCACAUAAUAAGACUUCAUAGAUAUAGAAUCAAAUAAUCUAACAUAGAUUGCCAUAAAACAUGGUAUCAUCAGCAUUCUCAUUCUCAUUUCAACAUGCCAUUUGAGGUCGAAUAUGUACCUGGUUACAGCAAAGGCAAUCAAGAGUUUUGAGAAUCAAUUUAAAGUAAAACCAAGAAAACAAGUAUAGCAACAUAGAUCAGCAGUAAAAACCAAAUCAAACAACUUCCAGAAGUCCAGCAAUUUUAGCUCUUUAAAUUAUUUUUCACCCAGAUAAAACAAGAGUUCUUUUAAGUUUUUUACAUUCCAGUUGAAAUUCGAGAUUAGGAAGAAUAUUCAGAACCAAUGCCCACCCCAAAAGAUGCAAAAAUUUCAAUGUCUUCCAAGAAUAACUUCUAUCAACCAUUUUCUUCUCAGUAGCUGCUUCAAAAUAAAGGGAAAGAGACCAUAUAUAGGUAUGCCUAAGGCAGCCCGAGUACAACUAACCAAACCCUUUUUUACCCCUUCUUUCUUGGUUAAUUUUACCCCUUUUAACCUUUUAGAAAAAUAUUUGAAACCCCCAGCUCUUAUCUUAUCCUCUAGAACCUUCUAUGCUAACAGAAAAUAAUUCCCUUACACCUCAAUCCCUAAAUUAACCCUAGAAAGCCUGCUUAUUACAGUCCCUGCCUAAUCCUUAUGACCCCUUUAAGUUUCCAUACUUCCAAUUAGCCCCAUACAGAUCCCUAAAGAUAGACAAACAAGACCAAUCAGAACAAAUAGCACCAGGGGGAUCAAAAGCGACUCGCAAGCCCAAAAACAUUGAACAACUUUAAGGUUUGAAAACAAUCAUGAAAUGAACCAAUUUCAUAAUGAAACCCGGGAAAACGUGAACUUUAUCGGAAACAUUUAAGCUAAUAAAAAUACGCCUAAGAAAAUUAUCAGAAGAUUCAACUGCAAAACCAAUUUCAAUUUAGACUAACAUUACUUUAACUGUAUUUACCACCUAAUUUAACUGAGACGACUGACUGAAAUCUCAAUAAACCAGUGGUUAACACUAAUUUAACACUGACAAAACUGAAACCAGUAAUUAACACUGACAAAAAUAAAAACCUAAAAGACAACACAUCUUAACUAAGGAGAAGACAAGAAUCACAAGAAUGGCCUAGAACUAUACACAACAAGGUUUUGAAAAAAAUGAGAGUAACCUAAGCAUGUGGGAAAAAACCUAAAAAAAGGGAAGAGGAAUGAAACUGUCAGACCGAUAAGGGGAUAAAGAUUCACCUGAGAAAGGAAUAAAGGGGUUCAAAUUCCAUUAGAUUGCCGGAACUAUCUCGAAAUGGCCCAAAAUUCAGGCUAAUUGGUUGUUCUUGCCAAGAACAACUAAUCAGCCUGUAUUUCCGGCUAGUUCAAAGCUUGAAGACAAAUCGAAGUUUCUGACUUGCAGUAGAUUUAGGACUUGGGGUUCCUGGCAGGGGUUUCGGGGAAAUCGACAAUGAAAUCACGAUUAGGGGGGGUCUAGGACGACAUGAUUUGAUCUUUGAGCGAUUUAGGAAAGUUAGGCUUUCGAUCAAUUUUUUCAAUCUAAAAUUCGAGCCAACCUACAGGGACUCGAGGGUAGAUGGUGGGAGAUUUGGAAAGAAUAGGGUAAGAGGGUUCUGGGGUGUUAUUUUCGGGUGGAUUGAAGUGGUUUGUGGCAUCGCCGCCGACGUAGGGUUUCCAGGUGGCGUCUCUAGGGUUUCGCAAUUCAGAGAUGAAAAUGGGAGGAAGUGGGGGGAGGGGGGUACGGCUAGGUUCGAACAGUUUUAUACGGGGGAGGGAUCGAGUUCUGGUCCACUAAAUCAAAUGA
This 3499-nucleotide long non-coding RNA is filed under the name Nicotiana benthamiana. RNAcentral's name for it is "long non-coding RNA (NBEN_LNC038326)". The record is from RNAcentral. Lineage: Eukaryota; Viridiplantae; Streptophyta; Magnoliopsida; Solanales; Solanaceae.